RNAcentral lists this long non-coding RNA (258 nucleotides) under Lathyrus oleraceus (garden pea). RNAcentral's name for it is "Pisum sativum (pea) long non-coding RNA (PSAT_LNC037685)". Lineage: Eukaryota; Viridiplantae; Streptophyta; Magnoliopsida; Fabales; Fabaceae. The record is from RNAcentral.
CUAGGGUCAAAGAAGGAGAAAUAAUUCAAAACAGAACAUGCAAAUUGGCACAAAUCAAGUUCAAUCAAAUUAGAACAAUGUCCAAGUGGUCUCACAUUCAUAUCACACACCAAUUUCAUUUCAUGAAGCAUUUAGUGCAAAGCAUGCAAUUUCAAAGCUCAUUGGACCAAACAGAAUGAAUCAAUCCAAAUCCACUCAAACAUAAUUCAAUAAAUCCCAGGAAAACUCAUGGCUAAACAGCAUUCAUAACAUGAACAU